This 120-nucleotide ribosomal RNA is filed under the name Microtus ochrogaster (prairie vole). Lineage: Eukaryota; Metazoa; Chordata; Mammalia; Rodentia; Cricetidae. The record is from RNAcentral.
GUCUACAGUCAUACCAUACUGAAGGUACCCAAUCUUGUAGGAUCUCGGAAGCUAAGCAGGGUUGGGAUUUCCUAAUACUUGAAUGGGAGGACACCAAGAAAGACCAGUUCAAUGAACAAA